Molecule: ribosomal RNA, 578 nt
Filed under: Leifsonia sp. TDB-175
Lineage: Bacteria; Bacillati; Actinomycetota; Actinomycetes; Micrococcales; Microbacteriaceae
Description: bacterial SSU rRNA
Rfam family: Bacterial small subunit ribosomal RNA
Source: RNAcentral
ACGGGUGAGUAACACGUGAGUAACCUGCCCUUGACUCUGGGAUAACCUCCGGAAACGGAAGCUAAUACCGGAUAUGACGUACGGAGGCAUCUCCUGUACGUGGAAAGAACUUCGGUCAAGGAUGGACUCGCGGCCUAUCAGGUAGUUGGUGAGGUAACGGCCCACCAAGCCUACGACGGGUAGCCGGCCUGAGAGGGUGACCGGCCACACUGGGACUGAGACACGGCCCAGACUCCUACGGGAGGCAGCAGUGGGGAAUAUUGCACAAUGGGCGCAAGCCUGAUGCAGCAACGCCGCGUGAGGGAUGACGGCCUUCGGGUUGUAAACCUCUUUUAGUAGGGAAGAAGCGAAAGUGACGGUACCUGCAGAAAAAGCACCGGCUAACUACGUGCCAGCAGCCGCGGUAAUACGUAGGGUGCGAGCGUUGUCCGGAAUUAUUGGGCGUAAAGAGCUCGUAGGCGGUCUGUCGCGUCUGCUGUGAAAACCCGAGGCUCAACCUCGGGCCUGCAGUGGGUACGGGCAGACUAGAGUGCGGUAGGGGAGAAUGGAAUUCCUGGUGUAGCGGUGGAAUGCGCAGA